GUAGCUCAGCUGGAUAGAGCGCUGCCCUCCGAAGGCAGAGGCCAGAGGUUCGAAUCCUCUC
RNAcentral lists this transfer RNA (61 nucleotides) under Marinovum sp. Its description in RNAcentral is "tRNA-Arg". It matches the Rfam family "tRNA", at positions 7 to 64 of the family's 71-position model. From Rfam's summary of the family: Transfer RNA (tRNA) molecules are approximately 80 nucleotides in length. The record is from RNAcentral. Lineage: Bacteria; Pseudomonadati; Pseudomonadota; Alphaproteobacteria; Rhodobacterales; Roseobacteraceae.